This 492-nucleotide ribosomal RNA is filed under the name uncultured bacterium. RNAcentral's name for it is "partial 16S ribosomal RNA". It matches the Rfam family "Bacterial small subunit ribosomal RNA", at positions 29 to 507 of the family's 1533-position model. The record is from RNAcentral.
AGUGAACGCUGGCGGUAGGCCUAACACAUGCAAGUCGAACGGCAGCACAGUAAGAGCUUGCUCUUACGGGUGGCGAGUGGCGGACGGGUGAGGAAUACAUCGGAAUCUACUUUUUCGUGGGGGAUAACGUAGGGAAACUUACGCUAAUACCGCAUACGACCUACGGGUGAAAGCAGGGGAUCUUCGGACCUUGCGCGAUUGAAUGAGCCGAUGUCGGAUUAGCUAGUUGGCGGGGUAAAGGCCCACCAAGGCGACGAUCCGUAGCUGGUCUGAGAGGAUGAUCAGCCACACUGGAACUGAGACACGGUACAGACUCCUACGGGAGGCAGCAGUGGGGAAUAUUGGACGAUGGGCGCAAGCCUGAUCCAGCCAUACCGCGUGGGUGCAGAAGGCCUUCGGGUUGUAAAGCCCUUUUGUUGGGAAAGAAAAGCAGCAGGUUAAUCCCCCGCUGUUCUGACGGUACCCAAAGAAUAAGCACCGGCUAACUUCGUG